This is a non-coding RNA of Peromyscus maniculatus bairdii (prairie deer mouse), 795 nucleotides long. The record is from RefSeq and is a predicted model, not a curated record. Lineage: Eukaryota; Metazoa; Chordata; Mammalia; Rodentia; Cricetidae.
CCAGGUGCAUCCAUGCUAACCACCAUGGCCAGUUCUGUUGUCACAUGAGGCCUCCCAACAACAGAGGGUGUGGCACUUCUUCCCUAAACAAGCAGGCAGCAGAGCGGGAAGCUUCCUCUCCUGAGCUGUGCCUCUUUCUUUACAUGCCCACCUUAGACAAUUAACGCUCCCUGCACAUUCUAGUGAACAGGUCCUUCACACAGCAUUAGAAUGAGUCCCAAUAUAUAUGGCCACCAGACUGGGAUUGGGACUCAAAAGAAAUGUUUUGUUUUUUUGUUUCCUAUUUGGUACUCAUAGCACCUUGGGGCCUCCUCCCUAAGCAUGGUGUGGUGCGGGUAUUUAAUUAGUAUGUCGGUUUCAUGAAUGAAUAAGUAGUGGCAUCGUAAAUAGAAACAUUUAAUCCUCCUGCUCUGGGCUUUCUGGGAGGCUCAUGGAGUACAGCUGUUGAUUCGUUCUGUGUAGUCAGCUGAGGCCACAUCAGGGCAAGGGGGUGUGAUUCAAUUUGGGGUUUGAUAAUCGCCUGUGGACCUUCCGACUCUCACAUCUCCCUGUCUUCCCUUUUGGCUCCUUGGAGGACACAGAAGUUCCAUGGGCUCCUGCUGGUCAAUGGCAAGUGACUUCUCUCUUCUGCUGUAAAGAAUAAAAGAAAUGCUUGAAAAUGCUUAGCACACGUGAAAUGGGGACCUUCCGAAGAACAUCAUCUAAAACAAAGGCACACUCCAGGAGUCGAACCCUUUGUUUGAACCUGAGAGAACUGCUUAGCUGGGCUUUCAUCCACACCGGGGAUCCUUUAGC